GAUGAACGCUAGCUACAGGCUUAACACAUGCAAGUCGAGGGGUAGCAGGGUAGCAAUACCGCUGACGACCGGCGCACGGGUGAGUAACACAUAUCCAACCUUCCCAUAACUCGGGGAUAGCCUUUCGAAAGAAAGAUUAAUACCCGAUAGUACUUUUUCAAGGCAUCUUGAGAAAGUUAAAGAUUUAUUGGUUAUGGAUGGGGAUGCGUUCCAUUAGAUAGUUGGUGAGGUAACGGCUCACCAAGUCUUCGAUGGAUAGGGGUUCUGAGAGGAAGGUCCCCCACAUUGGUACUGAGACACGGACCAAACUCCUACGGGAGGCAGCAGUGAGGAAUAUUGGUCAAUGGGCGAGAGCCUGAACCAGCCAAGUAGCGUGAAGGAUGAAGGUCCUAUGGAUUGUAAACUUCUUUUACAGUAGAAUAAAGUGAUCCACGUGUGGAUUUUUGUAUGUAUACUAUGAAUAAGGAUCGGCUAACUCCGUGCCAGCAGCCGCAGUAA
RNAcentral lists this ribosomal RNA (498 nucleotides) under uncultured bacterium. Its description in RNAcentral is "partial 16S ribosomal RNA". It matches the Rfam family "Bacterial small subunit ribosomal RNA", at positions 28 to 523 of the family's 1533-position model. The record is from RNAcentral.